GCCAGACUCCUACGGGAGGCAGCAGUGAGGAAUAUUGGUCAAUGGCCGAGAGGCUGAACCAGCCAAGUCGCGUGAGGGAUGACGGCCCUACGGGUUGUAAACCUCUUUUGCCGGGGAGCAAAGAGCGGGACGCGCCCCGCCUCGAGAGUACCCGGAGAAAAAGCAUCGGCUAACUCCGUGCCAGCAGCCGCGGUAAUACGGAGGAUGCGAGCGUUAUCCGGAUUUAUUGGGUUUAAAGGGUGCGUAGGCGGAAUGCCAAGUCAGCGGUAAAAUCGCGGGGCUCAACCUCGCUCCGCCGUUGAAACUGGCGUUCUUGAGUGGGCGAGAAGUAUGCGGAAUGCGUGGUGUAGCGGUGAAAUGCAUAGAUAUCACGCAGAACUCCGAUUGCGAAGGCAGCAUACCGGCGCCCAACUGACGCUGAAGCACGAAAGCGUGGGUAUCGAACAGGAUUAGAUACCCCGGUAA
This 465-nucleotide ribosomal RNA is filed under the name uncultured bacterium. RNAcentral's name for it is "bacterial SSU rRNA". It matches the Rfam family "Bacterial small subunit ribosomal RNA", at positions 330 to 793 of the family's 1533-position model. The record is from RNAcentral.